Long non-coding RNA from Actinia tenebrosa (Australian red waratah sea anemone), 234 nucleotides. NCBI's taxonomy places the organism in Eukaryota, Metazoa, Cnidaria, Anthozoa, Actiniaria, Actiniidae. The record is from RefSeq and is a predicted model, not a curated record.
AGCAAGGAUACUACGUGUGGGCCACACAGUGCAAGAAAACUUAAAUGUUGSUAAUUCAGACCCCACAGUCCAAAUCCACAUUACGGAUUUACCAGAUGGCAUGGAUGAUGCCCCUGUCCAUGGAAAUUGUAUGUCGGCCCAGUCAUGAUUGAUGAUUUAAGAGAAGUUGUAAGUGACCACUUUGUUUUACGACACGGAUCAAAUCUCCAGCUGCGGUUCAUGUCCACCCAUGUA